AACAAAUCUGGAGAUAGCUGGUUCUCCCCGAAAACUAUUGAGGUAGUGCCUCGUGUAUGGCUCCAGGGGGUAGAGCACUGUUAUGGCUAGGGGGACAUGGCGUCUUACCAAACCAUGGCAAACUCCGAAUACUUGGAAGUCUGAGCACGGGAGACAGAGCACCGGGUGCUAACGUCCGGACUCAAAAGGGAAACAACCCAGACCGCCGGCUAAGGUCCCUAAUAUUGACUAAGUGGAAAACGAAGUGGGAAGGCUAAGACAGUCAGGAAGUUGGCUUAGAAGCAGCCAUCCUUCAAAGAAAGCGUAAUAGCUCACUGAUCGAGUCUUCCUGCGCGGAAGAUGUAACGGGGCUAAGUCAAUAACCGAAGCCGCGGAUUCGCAGCAAUGCGAGUGGUAGGGGAGCGUUCUGUAAGCCUGCGAAGGCGGAUCCGCGAGGACCGCUGGAGGUAUCAGAAGUGCGAAUGCUGACAUGAGUAACGUUAAAGCGGGUGAAAAGCCCGCUCGCCGCAAGCCCAAGGUUUCCUGCUCUACGUUCAUCGGAGCAGGGUGAGUCGGCCCCUAAGGUCAGGCUGAGAAGCGUAGCUGAUGGGAAGCUGGUUAAUAUUCCAGCACCGAUUUCAAGUGCGAAGGGGGGACGGAGUCCUGAAGGUCAUCCGGGUGUUGGAUAUCCCGGUUUACGAGCGUAGGAGGUUGACAGGCAAAUCCGUCAACAGAUCUCCAAGGCGAAGGAUCGAGGUUGAGAGAUCAACUGAAGUGACUGAAUGGGCUUCCAGGAAAAGCCUCUAAGCAUCAGCUUGGAAUUGACCGUACCGCAAACCGACACUGGUGGGCGAGCUGAAUAUGCUCAGGCGCUUGAGAGAACUCAGGAGAAGGAACUCGGCAAAUUGACACCGUAACUUCGGGAUAAGGUGUGCCUUUGUAGUGUGAAGGGAGAAACACCCCGAGCAUGAAGAGGCCUCAGAGAAUCGGUGGCUGCAACUGUUUACUAAAAACACAGCACUCUGCAAAGAUGAAAGUCGACGUAUAGGGUGUGAUGCCUGCCCGGUGCUGGAAGAUUAAUUGAUGGGGUGCAAGCUCCUGAUCGAAGUCCCAGUAAACGGCGGCCGUAACUAUAACGGUCCUAAGGUAGCGAAAUUCCUUGUCGGGCAAGUUCCGACCUGCACGAAUGGCAUAAUGAUGGCCACACUGUCUCCUCCUGAGACUCAGUGAAGUUGAAAUGUUUGUGAUGAUGCAAUCUCCCCGCGGCUAGACGGAAAGACCCCAUGAACCUUUACUGCAGCUUUGCAUUGGACUUUGAACCGAUCUGUGUAGGAUAGGUGGGAGGCAGUGAAGCUAGGACGCCAGUCUUAGCGGAGCCAACCUUGAAAUACCACCCUGAUUUGUUUGAGGUUCUAACCUAGGAGCGUAAUCCGCUUCGGGGACCGUGCAUGGUAGGCAGUUUGACUGGGGCGGUCUCCUCCUAAAGGGUAACGGAGGAGUGCGAAGGUACGCUAGGUACGGUCGGAAAUCGUGCUGAUAGUGCAAUGGCAUAAGCGUGCUUGACUGCGAGACCGACAAGUCGAGCAGAUACGAAAGUAGGUCAUAGUGAUCCGGUGGCUCUGCAUGGAAGGGCCAUCGCUCAACGGAUAAAAGGUACUCUGGGGAUAACAGGCUGAUACCGCCCAAGAGUUCAUAUCGACGGCGGUGUUUGGCACCUCGAUGUCGGCUCAUCUCAUCCUGGGGCUGUAGCCGGUCCCAAGGGUAUGGCUGUUCGCCAUUUAAAGAGGUACGUGAGCUGGGUUUAAAACGUCGUGAGACAGUUUUGUCCCUAUCUGCCGUGGGCGUUGGAAGAUUGACGGGGGCUGCUCCUAGUACGAGAGGACCGGAGUGGACUCACCUCUGGUGUACCGGUUGUCACGCCAGUGGCAUCGCCGGGUAGCUAUGUGGGGAAAGGAUAACCGCUGAAAGCAUCUAAGCGGGAAACCUGCCUGAAGAUAAGUCUUCCUGGAGGCUUUGACCUCCCUGAAGAGUCGUUCGAGACCAGGACGUUGAUAGGUUGGAUGUGCAAGCGCUGUGAGGCGUUGAGCUGACCAAUACUAAUUGCUCGUGAAGCUUGAUCC
This 2099-nucleotide ribosomal RNA is filed under the name human gut metagenome. Its description in RNAcentral is "bacterial LSU rRNA". It matches the Rfam family "Bacterial large subunit ribosomal RNA", at positions 832 to 2925 of the family's 2925-position model. The record is from RNAcentral.